Molecule: ribosomal RNA, 497 nt
Filed under: uncultured bacterium
Lineage: Bacteria
Description: partial 16S ribosomal RNA
Rfam family: Bacterial small subunit ribosomal RNA
Source: RNAcentral
GAUGAACGCUGGCGGCGUGCCUAAUACAUGCAAGUCGAGCGAACAGACGAGGAGCUUGCUCCUCUGACGUUAGCGGCGGACGGGUGAGUAACACGUGGAUAACCUACCUAUAAGACUGGGAUAACUUCGGGAAACCGGAGCUAAUACCGGAUAAUAUAUUGAACCGCAUGGUUCAAUAGUGAAAGACGGUUUUGCUGUCACUUAUAGAUGGAUCCGCGCCGCAUUAGCUAGUUGGUAAGGUAACGGCUUACCAAGGCAACGAUGCGUAGCCGACCUGAGAGGGUGAUCGGCCACACUGGAACUGAGACACGAUCCAGACUCCUACGGGAGGCAGCAGUAGGGAAUCUUCCGCAAUGGGCGAAAGCCUGACGGAGCAACGCCGCGUGAGUGAUGAAGGUCUUCGGAUCGUAAAACUCUGUUAUUGGGGAAGAACAAAUGUGUAAGUAACUAUGCACGUCUUGACGGUACCUAAUCAGAAAGCCACGGCUAACUACGUG